Non-coding RNA from Lolium perenne, 1665 nucleotides. Lineage: Eukaryota; Viridiplantae; Streptophyta; Magnoliopsida; Poales; Poaceae. The record is from RefSeq and is a predicted model, not a curated record.
CCUUCGAACCCGAGGACAUUGGUGACUAUGCCACUUCAUUUCUUUCCGGAGAUCUUCCUCAGAUGUGCAAUCGAUUUGCUUCUUUCCGGAUAGGAUCGCGAAGUGGUGUUGUGAGAUACGACAAGUCCUCCGGAUGUUCCUCGGUAAUCUUUAACAGGCAAGCAUUUCAUAAACUCCUGUCUCUGCAGGAGUCGUUCCCCUAUUUUAUUUUGCCUUCUCCCUUAUGCUAGCCUUGAGUUGUGUUCUUGUCAUGUGUCCUAUCCACUUGUUACCUCAAGCAGCCCAUAUUGCCACCACCACUCUCCUACAGCUGUUGUAUGGUUAUCGGGUCUGCCUUGCGAGUCGUAGUGCAUGCUAGUGUUCUUUAUAUCUCGUUACCGUUAUCGUUAUCUUAUCGUGUUAUCUGUUGGAAAAUCAUGACACAUGGUUUAUGGAUAUACUGUUGGAGAUACACAUGCUUUACUUAAUUGUUAACAACUAAAAUUGUAAGCAGAGGCAUCUGUGAGCCCCUUUGCGAAAGCAUCGAAACUUUGACUCGCUAAUGUCCUCUAAGACCCGAGUUCUUGUUAUCUGUUUCGAGAUUGAGCGCUCUACCCGUACGUGGGGGAGUGGGACCCCCAUCACCCACUACCUUUCCUCGAGUCUGUUUAUUGGGAGCCACAACCUUGGUUUUAUUUGGCCAUAUGCACGAUGCACGAUUUACUUCCUGUUGCCUUCGGGUGUUUAUAUUAUGUACUGUACUCAUCUCGUGGAACGAUUAGCGACAGUAGGUUGUUCACACUUAGCUUAGCCGUUGACACAAACCUCUGGGUCCGUAUCAGAGUAUGGCCGCACUUCGUCACGGGUAGCUUAGUGGGGUGUCUCCCCUUAAACUUUCUCUUGCAUUGGGAACAGUCUUGUUAUCAGACUCCACCUGUAGGGUUCGAGGAUGCGUAUGGUUACAUUUGGGCAACCCCUGUAGGGUGUACAUCUUAUCGAUAAGCCGUGUCCGCGGUUAUGGAUGACUUGGAAUUGUAUAGUUUGAUCAUAUAACAACUUACACCUUUAUUUGAUGUUAAUAAUUUGCUAAUAACUUGCGUAGUAAAUUAGCAUUACUACAAAGGUUACCUAAUAAAACUUUUUCACCGUGUGAGUGCCUUUGUAAGUACUUCCUUGCGAGAGGGGAACACAUUGGUCGGGUUAUGUUUGCAGAGUAUAGAACUACUAGCUUAUGCGCUCUCUCAUCUUCUCUGAUUAGACGAAUGUUGUAGAGUGUCUCUAUAGGUUUUUAGUGCUUGCGCGCUGCCGCUUAACCCCACCAUAUUGCCUAUGAUGUUCCUCUUGUGUCCUCUAAGUUGACGAAUGCUUAUACGCCUUGAAGUCUUGUUAAGUACGAACCCGUACUUAUUGCUGCUUCUUUGGGACAUAACCGGGCAGGUAUGAAGUUAUGUUCGAUGAAGACGAUGUUAGCAAGGUUACCUUUCCGGCUUGGCCUAGGCAGGAUUAUGGACGCCAUCGUUUAUCUUCAGGACUCUUAGUCCAAUUUGUAUCUUGUUCGUACUCGGACGUAUUUGAUCUUCUGUAUGAUUUGGAUCUUUGUAUUGUAUAUUUGUAUCUUGACUCGUUGGAGUCGUUGUUGAAAUAUAUGUUUUUUGUGGGCUCUAUUGUAAUCCUGUUGUAAUAUUA